AUUGAACGCUGGCGGCAGGCUUAACACAUGCAAGUCGAGCGGGGAAGGGUAGCUUGCUACCUAACCUAGCGGCGGACGGGUGAGUAAUACUUAGGAAUCUGGCUAUUAGUGGGGGAGAACAUUUCGAAAGGGAUGCUAAUACCGCAUACGUCCUACGGGAGAAAGCAGGGGAUCAGUAAUGACCUUGCGCUAAUAGAUGAGCCUAAGUCGGAUUAGCUAGUUGGUGGGGUAAAGGCCUACCAAGGCGACGAUCUGUAGCGGGUCUGAGAGGAUGAUCCGCCACACUGGGACUGAGACACAGCCCAGACUCCUACGGGAGGCAGCAGUGGGGAAUAUUGGACAAUGGGGGGAACCCUGAUCCAGCCAUGCCGCGUGUGUGAAGAAGGCCUUAUGGUUGUAAAGCACUCUAAGCGAGGAGGAGGGUACUGGUAUUAAUACUACCAGCUACUGGACGUUACUCGCAGAAUAAGCACCGGCUAACUCUGUGCCAGCCGCCGCCGUAA
RNAcentral lists this ribosomal RNA (503 nucleotides) under uncultured bacterium. RNAcentral's name for it is "partial 16S ribosomal RNA". It matches the Rfam family "Bacterial small subunit ribosomal RNA", at positions 30 to 523 of the family's 1533-position model. The record is from RNAcentral.